RNAcentral lists this ribosomal RNA (407 nucleotides) under uncultured bacterium. Its description in RNAcentral is "partial 16S ribosomal RNA". It matches the Rfam family "Bacterial small subunit ribosomal RNA", at positions 29 to 526 of the family's 1533-position model. The record is from RNAcentral.
AUUGAACGCUAGCGGGAUGCCUUACACAUGCAAGUCGAACGGAGUGGCGUACGGGUGAGUAAUGUAUCGGAACGUGCCCAGUCGCGGGGGAUAACUACGCGAAAGCGUAGCUAAUACCGCAUACUAUUUGAGCGGCCGAUAUCGGAUUAGCUGGUUGGUGGGGUAACGGCUCACCAAGGCGACGACCCGUAGCUGGUUUGAGAGGCCGACCAGCCACACUGGGACUGAGACACGGCCCAGACUCCUACGGGAGGCAGCAGAGGGAAAUUUUGGACAAUGGGGGAAGCCCUGACCCAGCCAGCCGGGGUGUGGGAGGAGGGCCUUGGGGUGGUAAAGCACGUUUGGCAGGAAAGCGGUACCUGCAGAAUAAGCACCGGCUAACUACGUGCCAGCAGCCGCGGUAAUAC